AGUGAAGAUAGAGGUGCGAAUUUUAAGAGUACACAUUUGGAAGAGUAUGAGCUCUAAAGACAAAUGUGGAAAGGAAAAUUUGCCGAAGUGAAUGACAUCUCAUAGAGUCAUUUGCUGGUUCUGCGUUGAAUAAAUGUAGGAUUGUCAAGAAUGUGUUUCUUGGAGAGCUAUCUCACGG
RNAcentral lists this non-coding RNA (178 nucleotides) under Bacillus sp. (in: firmicutes). RNAcentral describes it as "Bacillus sp. Lysine sequence". It matches the Rfam family "Lysine riboswitch aptamer". From Rfam's summary of the family: Riboswitches are metabolite binding domains within certain messenger RNAs that serve as precision sensors for their corresponding targets. Allosteric rearrangement of mRNA structure is mediated by ligand binding, and this results in modulation of gene expression. The record is from RNAcentral. RNAcentral also lists the same sequence under 1 other name. Lineage: Bacteria; Bacillati; Bacillota; Bacilli; Caryophanales; Bacillaceae.